GUUCACCUCACAAUCCCUCGUUCAUAUUCUCACAACCGAAUUCAUACUUCUUUACUAGUGUGAUGGCCUGUGCCCCUGGACACACUCGCGUCACGCGAGUGUAAACUCUGUGAACACCUGCUCAACACGUGCACAGGAUUGUAUACCGAUAAAAACGCCGGUGGUAAAUUCACCCGUUUCAAACUAAUUCAAAUCCACUCCCCAUUUCAGGCACUCUGAUGUACGUUUUAAGCAAUAACAGUGUACAACUUUCUCAUUAUUAUUAUUAUUAUUGUUUAAAACAUGAAGCAGGCGUGCGCAAUACAAUGUUAAAAUGUCUGCGUGGUUUUACACGGCUGUAAUAUUCCGUGACGCUAACAACUGUUAUUAAUCGUUAUGCCACGGAAUGGUUGAAUUCUUCUCAUAUUUGGUUGGACAGAAGGUACGCAUGAUUUAUUUUUUUUUUUAUUACCACAAGUACAGGUUCGUAUUAAUGCGCUCGUUCUAAUACGUUAGUGUUUCUAUAGCGACAGCUCGUGCACGGGGAUCGUAUAGUGGACACGCCACAUAAUCAAAGAUGAAUAAUAAAUGAAUUUGAUAAAAUGUGUGAUAGUUUAACAACGAAAUUCAUCUAAUGAGUCAGCACGUUUACAUGGGCAACAAUAAUCCGAUAUGAACCCGAUUAAGACGAUACUCUGAUUAAGAAGCUACCAUGUAAACAGCGAUUAUUGAUGACCUUAAUCCGACUAAAGUCAUACUCGAAGUAAACACAAAUGGAAUUAAGACGUGUGGAGUAUUCCUGUUUUAGUCGCGUUAUUGAGGUGUAUUACAGACACGUACACACCUUAAUCACACUGUUAACAUCGUGUAGAGUUUUCACCACAUUGUGUGACAGGACACGUACACACACGGCAGCGCUCAACCGUUUAACGGUAAACAAGAGAGCACGGCUGCGUCCCAAACCCCGUACUUACCUACUAUAUAGUAGGUAAAUACACGUAUCUCGGCUACUAUAUAGUAGGUAAAUACACGUAUCUCGGCUACUAUAUAGUAGGUAAGUACACGUAUCUCGGCUACUAUAUAGUAGGUAAGUACACGUAUCUCGGCUACUAUAUAGUAGGUAAGUACACGUAUCUCGGCUACUAUAUAGUAGGUAAGUACACGUAUCUCGGCUACUAUAUAGUAGGUAAGUACACGUAUCUCGGCUACUAUAUAGUAGGUAAGUACGCGGUUUGGGACGCAGCCCACAGCUUCAAGCAGUCGUCUAUUUGCACGUACAGCAUGACAAAUAAUUAACCGCACUUGAAGCGUCCGUAGAAUUUAAAAUGAAACACCCGAAACUGUAUACGGGACCAUAACGAAGACCGACUGUAUGUGGACGUGAAAUUCUGGAGGGAACGGUGUGGCGUGGGGACGUAAUGACGUGUGAUUUUAAUCGCUCCAUGAUCUAUAGCAUGUAAAACCUGAACAUGGAAGGAGUAUUCUAAACGCGACUCAUGUAAACACCUUAAUCACAAUAUAGUCUUACUCAGAGUAAGGUCAGUAAUUAGAUCACCGCUGUCCAUGUAAACAGAGCGUCGGGUGUCGGAGCUUCGUAACAGUCACAGUGCUUUCUGUAGUUUCUCAUCACAGGAAAGUCUUCCGGAGAGUGGAUUUUCCACUUUCCACUUAGUUUUGUAAAAUGCCAUCCUUUUUUAAAAAUUUUUUUUAGUCCUAUUAACUCUGUCCAUACAGGAUUUCACAGAGUUUAUUAAUAUUUUUUUGUGAUCGUUGCAGCCAAAAAUGCUUGAUUUUGCUGCGGGUUUUUUCAAAAUUUGUGAUACAGUUUGCAGAGUUUUUGUGCUUUUUUUUUGUGUGGAAAACUAUUGAAUUGCACGAAAUUGCCUUUCACAGUGAUGGUUAUUGGGUAAAUGAGACCUUUUAGCUGUAAUAAUGUUCAAUGCAUGUGACUUGAAAAGGGUUCUGGCUGAAUGCGCGUUGUGAUGACGUCGCACCUUCACCCAAAUCUGCAGAAAAUCUGUUGUAAUUUUGAAAAAUUGCAAGCUCCUAAAAAUAUUAUGGAGUUUCCUUGGGUUUGUGUAAAUUUCAGCGAUCGCAAAAUCCCGGCGUGACCGAUGAACUGUUUAUUGUUGUUGUUGUUGUUGUUGUUGUUGUUGUUAUUGCUGCGUUUGACUAGCUUUGGGAGUGGGAGGCUGGAACUGGGAAUGACGUCAUUUUGGACGAGUUCCUGAGAAGGAGUUCUUGUCUCAUUAACUAUAAACUGCUGAAAACCUGACGUGUUGUUGUUUUUUAAGAAAUGAAACAUUGUCCACGGCGACACAUCAGUAUUUAUGUAUGCAUAAUAUGACCUGAAGCGUAGCAUACAAUCCCGGAGUGCAUCACGCCAUCCCGGAGUAUAAUAUUUUCAUAUAAUGGCGGAGUCCAUUGUGUGCUAUUGCUUACAUAAGUGCUAAAUUGACCAUGCAACUGUAAGUGUAUGUAUGUAACAUGUAUGACGGUUUCAUUUGAAUAUGUAUUUUUCCCUCUGUGAUGUGCCAAGGAUGCGCCGUCACCUUGUUUUGAACUCAUCUUUUGUGACUAUAAUUGCAGGAAGAAAAUUCGAGUCUGUUGGCAUGACUGUCCCGACUGACGUUAACACGUACUCACUUGGAAAAAACAAAAACCCCUAAGCUCUGAGGAGAAUCCACUAGUUUGGUAUGGAAAUCCGUCUGCAUGCCAGUGUAGACUCCCUGUCCACUUUAAGAGGAACACGUGUACACCUGCUCAUUCGUGCAGUUAUCUAAUCAGCCAAUCAUGCAGCAGCAGCACAGUGUGGAGAAUCAAACAGAACAAGCACUUCAGGUAAUGUUCACGAUGGGGAAAAUUUAACCGUGGCAUGGUGGGUUUUUUUUCUUUUUUUUUUUUCUUUUUCUUGCCAGGGCUGGUAUGAGUAUUUCAGGUAUUUCUCUAGGGUCUACACAGAAUGGUGCAAAAAACAAAAAGCACAGAGCGAGCGACAGUUCUGUGGGUGGAAACGCCUGGUUGAUGAGAGAGGUCGGAGAAAAAUGACCAGACUGGUUCAAGCUGCCUGGAAGGAUAUAAUGACUCAUAUAGUCACUCUUUACAACCAUGGUGAUCGGAAAAGCAUCUCAGCAUGCACAAAACACUGCGUUCCUCUCCUAUCAGCCAAGAACAGGAACCUGAGGCUAUCAGGAGUGGAACCUGAUGUGGUCUUGUGCUGUUGUAGCUCAUCCACCUCACGGUUUGGUGUGUUCUGAGAUGCUUUUCUGUUCACCGUGGUUGCAAAGAGUGCUUAUUUGAGUUACUCUAGAAUUCCCGUCAACUCGGACCAUUCUCUCUCAUCAUCAGGGUGUUUCUUCCUGCAGACGCUCCACUCGCCGGAGACUGCUGUAUGGGAAAAUCCCAGGAGAUCAGCAGUUUCUGAAAUACUCAAACCAGCCCAUCUGGCAACCAGAGAACCAUGCCGUGGAUAAAGUCACAGAGAUCACAUUUUUUUCUUCGUUUUGAUGUUUGACGUGAACAUUUAAGUGAAACUCUCGACCUGUAUUUCUGAAAUUUUUGCUACCGAGCAAAAAAAACAAAACUCCACUCCACUCUUUAGAUCACAUGUGAGAAAUAUAAUGCUGUAAGAUUUUGUGUAAAUAGCCCAACUGGGUCAGUCACGAUUGUUGUUUCCUAGCCCAGAAUAAUUGCAGCUGAAUUUAGCGCCCCCCGUCCGUCCUAACCAUCGUUCGAGCGCUAGGUCUGAGAUUAAGGAUGAGUAGUAAUGUAGUUUAUCCGAUGCUGCGGUGAAUCUCAUCUCGAGCGUGUCUCUUUCUAAAAAAGAAGGGAAGGAGAGAAUAAAAAGACCUUGCAGAAUUUGUGUAUUCUAUUUUAAAAAGUACAUUAUGUCUGAGAAGUCAGGCUGCAUGGUGUAACCGGAGCCAGGACUUUCUGCUGAAGCGAAGGGCGGGAGCGUAGAACGAAACAGUCGAAAAUAGGCACAGUCGAGCAAAGUGUAGGAGGAGAGGGUUAGCAGUCGCACUGCUGGGAGAGACAGUCUUUCUUUAUCUCUCUCUGUGUUUCUCUCUCUAUCUAUCUAUGUCUCUGUAUCUCUCUCUAUAUAUCUAUCUCUGUGUAUCUCUAUCUAUCUCUUGCACACAGUAUGGCGUGGAGUGCAGCAGUAAUGGCAAGUGUGUAAUUUUACACGUGACUAACACGGGAAGUGGAAAUACAUGUGUAACUGUACAUCAUAUUGUCAGUGUAUUCCUUCCUUCCCUCCCUCCGAGGAGAAUACACGAGAUCAC
This is a long non-coding RNA of Ictalurus punctatus (channel catfish), 4265 nucleotides long. Lineage: Eukaryota; Metazoa; Chordata; Actinopteri; Siluriformes; Ictaluridae. The record is from Ensembl.